This 834-nucleotide ribosomal RNA is filed under the name uncultured bacterium. Its description in RNAcentral is "bacterial SSU rRNA". It matches the Rfam family "Bacterial small subunit ribosomal RNA", at positions 26 to 870 of the family's 1533-position model. The record is from RNAcentral.
AGGACGAACGCUGGCGGCGUGCUUAACACAUGCAAGUCGAACGGUGAACCGGGCUUCGGCCCGGGGAUCAGUGGCGAACGGGUGCGUAACACGUGGGCAACCUGCCCCAGACUCUGGGAUAACUCCGGGAAACCGGGGCUAAUACCGGAUACUCCGCUCGGACGACAUCGUCUGAUCGGGAAAGCUCCGACGGUCUGGGAUGGGCCCGCGGCCUAUCAGCUUGUUGGCGAGGUAACGGCUCACCAAGGCGACGACGGGUAGCUGGUCUGAGAGGACGACCAGCCACACUGGAACUGAGAUACGGUCCAGACUCCUACGGGAGGCAGCAGUGGGGAAUCUUGCACAAUGGGCGCAAGCCUGAUGCAGCGACGCCGCGUGGGGGACGAAUGCCUUCGGGUUGUAAACCCCUUUCGGCAGGGAAGAAGCGCAAGUGACGGUACCUGCAGAAGAAGUCCCGGCUAACUACGUGCCAGCAGCCGCGGUAAGACGUAGGGGACGAGCGUUGUCCGGAUUCAUUGGGCGUAAAGCGCGCGUAGGCGGUUCGGUAAGUCGGAUGUGAAAACACGAGGCUCAACCUCGUGCGUGCAUCCGAUACUGCCCGACUAGAGGUAGGUAGGGGAGAUCGGAAUUCCUGGUGUAGCGGUGAAAUGCGCAGAUAUCAGGAGGAACACCGGUGGCGAAGGCGGAUCUCUGGGCCUUACCUGACGCUGAGGCGCGAAAGCUAGGGGAGCAAACAGGAUUAGAUACCCUGGUAGUCCUAGCCGUAAACGUUGGGUGCUAGGUGUGGGCGGAAAUCGACCCCGUCCGUGCCGAAGCUAACGCAUUAAGCACCCC